UAGAGUUUGAUCAUGGCUCAGGAUGAACGCUGGCGGUCUGCCUAACACAUGCAAGUCGAACGAAGUCUUCGGACUGAGUGGCGGACGGGUGAGUAACGCGUGAGAAUCUGGCCUCAGGAUGGGGACAACAGUGGGAAACCACUGCUAAUACCCGAUGCGCCGCAAGGUAAAAGAUUUAUCGCCUGAGGAUGAGCUCGCGUCCGAUUAGCUAGUUGGUAGGGUAAGAGCCUACCAAGGCGACGAUCGGUAGCUGGUCUGAGAGGAUGAGCAGCCACACUGGGACUGAGACACGGCCCAGACUCCUACGGGAGGCAGCAGUGGGGAAUUUUCCGCAAUGGGCGCAAGCCUGACGGAGCAAGACCGCGUGAGGGAGGAAGGCCCUUGGGUUGAAAACCUCUUUUCUCAGGGAAGAAGGCA
RNAcentral lists this ribosomal RNA (417 nucleotides) under uncultured bacterium. RNAcentral's name for it is "bacterial SSU rRNA". It matches the Rfam family "Bacterial small subunit ribosomal RNA", at positions 1 to 453 of the family's 1533-position model. The record is from RNAcentral.